CUCUUUCUGGUGGCCCUGCAAGCCCAGGAUGCCCAGUCUGCUCCAAUGCAAGGGCAGGGAGCAGUGAAAGAUACCCAGAAGAUACCAGAGGAGCUCCUAAGAGCCUUGGAGAAAGCUGCAUCUGGUUAGUAUAUCCCACUCUCUUAACCGUAGGACUUGGGAUGCUGAACUUUUUGCUUACUCUGGGGAUCUGCUGUAGCCUAUGCAGCAAGAAGGGAUCAGUCAGAGCCUCACUGCAAGGACACUCCAUUUCACACCUUGC
Molecule: long non-coding RNA, 262 nt
Filed under: Manacus vitellinus (golden-collared manakin)
Lineage: Eukaryota; Metazoa; Chordata; Aves; Passeriformes; Pipridae
Description: lncRNA (ENSMVIG00005009703.1)
Source: RNAcentral